This 253-nucleotide ribosomal RNA is filed under the name uncultured bacterium. Its description in RNAcentral is "partial 16S ribosomal RNA". It matches the Rfam family "Bacterial small subunit ribosomal RNA", at positions 524 to 776 of the family's 1533-position model. The record is from RNAcentral.
UACGGGGGGGGCAAGCGUUGCUCGGAAUCACUGGGCGUAAAGCGCGCGUAGGCGGACCUGCAAGUCGGGGGUGAAAGCCCGAGGCUCAACCUCGGAACUGCCUUCGAUACUGCGGGUCUCGAGUCCGGGAGAGGUGAGUGGAAUUCCUAGUGUAGAGGUGAAAUUCGUAGAUAUUAGGAAGAACACCAGUGGCGAAGGCGGCUCACUGGCCCGGUACUGACGCUGAGGCGCGAAAGCGUGGGGAGCAAACAGG